GCUGGUGUUGCUCAGUGGCUAGAGCGUCGGCCUGCGGACUGAAGGGUCCUGGGUUCGAUUCCCAGUCAAGGGCA
Myotis lucifugus (little brown bat) is the source of this 74-nucleotide non-coding RNA. Lineage: Eukaryota; Metazoa; Chordata; Mammalia; Chiroptera; Vespertilionidae. The record is from Rfam.